This is a non-coding RNA of Caenorhabditis elegans, 124 nucleotides long. Lineage: Eukaryota; Metazoa; Nematoda; Chromadorea; Rhabditida; Rhabditidae. The record is from Ensembl.
GGACUCUAUGGCUAGGGUCGCCGAGUUCAAUUAAACUUGAUUUUUUUCAAAAUGUCAAGCUUGAUUUGAUUUGCACAAUGGAUUUUCCAAUCGAAAAAUAAAUUCAUUUGGCACUUCGUAUUCC